UGCAAGUCGAACGGUGAAGCCAAGCUUGCUUGGUGGAUCAGUGGCGAACGGGUGAGUAACACGUGAGCAACCUGCCCUGGACUCUGGGAUAAGCGCUGGAAACGGUGUCUAAUACUGGAUAUGAGAUGUGAUCGCAUGGUCAUGUUUGGAAAGAUUUUUCGGUCUGGGAUGGGCUCGCGGCCUAUCAGCUUGUUGGUGAGGUAAUGGCUCACCAAGGCGUCGACGGGUAGCCGGCCUGAGAGGGUGACCGGCCACACUGGGACUGAGACACGGCCCAGACUCCUACGGGAGGCAGCAGUGGGGAAUAUUGCACAAUGGGCGGAAGCCUGAUGCAGCAACGCCGCGUGAGGGAUGACGGCCUUCGGGUUGUAAACCUCUUUUAGCAGGGAAGAAGCGAAAGUGACGGUACCUGCAGAAAAAGCGCCGGCUAACUACGUGCCAGCAGCCGCGGUAAUACGUAGGGCGCAAGCGUUAUCCGGAAUUAUUGGGCGUAAAGAGCUCGUAGGCGGUUUGUCGCGUCUGCUGUGAAAUCCCGAGGCUCAACCUCGGGUCUGCAGUGGGUACGGGCAGACUAGAGUGCGGUAGGGGAGAUUGGAAUUCCUGGUGUAGCGGUGGAAUGCGCAGAUAUCAGGAGGAACACCGAUGGCGAAGGCAGAUCUCUGGGCCGUAACUGACGCUGAGGAGCGAAAGGGUGGGGAGCAAACAGGCUUAGAUACCCUGGUAGUCCACCCCGUAAACGUUGGGAACUAGUUGUG
Molecule: ribosomal RNA, 755 nt
Filed under: Microbacterium testaceum
Lineage: Bacteria; Bacillati; Actinomycetota; Actinomycetes; Micrococcales; Microbacteriaceae
Description: bacterial SSU rRNA
Rfam family: Bacterial small subunit ribosomal RNA
Source: RNAcentral